Molecule: long non-coding RNA, 2044 nt
Filed under: Microcebus murinus (gray mouse lemur)
Lineage: Eukaryota; Metazoa; Chordata; Mammalia; Primates; Cheirogaleidae
Description: lncRNA (ENSMICG00000048747.1)
Source: RNAcentral
CAUAAUAGUUAGCAAAGUUGUUGGGAGGGUUAAACGACUUAACACCAGUCAAGCGCUUCACCGGCGUGCGGCACGUGGGAAGCGCUCAGUGACUGCAGCCGGGCAAUUGACGCGGAUUCCGCUGAACUUGGCCCCGCGUGGGCCGGCGCGGGCAGGCUUAGCCGGGGUGAUUUGCGGCUGCCGCCUGCAGGGUUUGGGGAGAAUUCGGCCCCUGCUCCUGUCCCAGCCCCAGCCAAACGCCUGCGUUUUGUUUUAGGAUUUGAUGGAGAACUGAGUUAUAAACGGGGUAGGGACGGCACGAAAAGCCAGGUCAGGAGCCGGCCUACGGCUCAAGCCGGGAGCAGCGGCGGGCAGGUACGCGCGGGCAGAACCAGAAAUGGAUGCUGAAUACAAAGAAAUCAACUUCUCAAAGGAGGGGAAGAGCAGUGGGAGGCUGUUAGUUCAAUUGCUGACGAUGUGUGACUGUGGCAGGGUCAGAAGUGCCCAGUUUACUCAGCAUCUCCCGUCAUUCUUACGAUUGCAGUUACGGAAUUGGGUGCAGCGUGUCAUAUACAUGAUGUUCUAUGGAGAUAAGCUUUCAUUCAGCUCAGUGCUUUGGAGAGCCCUCCAUGUGGCCGAGCAUCCUUUGUGUUGGGGAGCAGUAGCCGUGGGGUUUGCCCCCCGAGAAGGGGAGAGCUGCCGCCUGCAGAGCUGCUGCUCCUGCUUCACGCUCCCCCCAGCAUCUGCGCCCCAUGUCCGCCCGCGGGGGCACCGGGAGUGCCAAGGAGGCCCAGUAGGAGGAAAGCAGGCAAGAAUCUGCAAACCACCUUGGCUUCCUCAAAUUGCACCUGGCUGACAGCGAGGGUGGUGAGGAGGUGGCCAACGGCAGAAACAGAAUUGGACAAAUGAGCAGAAUUGGAAGUGUUUCCUCAGAACAGAGAAGAGCUGGGGCAGCUCAGGGGUGCUGCAGCAGGCCUAGUGGACCAUUUUGUCGGGCACCAGGAACAAAUCAAUCCCACCUGUAUCUGGCCCUCCAGUGCUGAUGCCAGAGGUUCAGAGUUCUGGGGAAGAGAGGACCGGUUUAGGAGGGCCCCACCACACCAUGCAUGCCAAGGAGAGGGGCUCUGCCUGAGGAAAUUGGAGUUCUGGGACCAGAAUAUGGCAGCUACAAAUGUUGACUCUUCCAGAAAAUUACCACCUCCUCCAAAUAAGGGUGGGUCUAUCUGUAAAUUGUGUAGAUUGUGUAAUCUUUACUAUUCAUGCAUUACCUGGGCCUGAGAACUUACCUGGAAUAUAUGUUCUUAAAUAAUGUUAUCUAUUAUUAUUUGAGUUGUUAUUUUCAGAGCUCCUCUCUAAUUUCCAGAUUCAUCAUUCUUCAAUGUUUCCACAUUUAGUAUUUAGUACUAGUAUUUUCAUGUUAUAAUUGUACCCACACAUAUACAACACUUGUUUCUACACCUUGAGUUCCUUAGUGCUAGUUGCACUUUUAGGUUAUAUCAGCUCUGCUACUUUGAGAAUUGCCUUUGGACUUUGUUCUUAAAUAAACAAAUGAAGACUGCUCUGGUCUUCUGAGCCCAGGGUCUGAGCACUGGUCUGGGAGCCACCAUGGGACUGAGGAAAGCAGCCCUAAAUGCCUUGUUUAUGACAAAAAUCUCUCGAAAGUAGCCCAACCUCUCUCACCUCUGUCUCCUGCCUGUAAAAUAAGCAUGUUAGUCUAGUUCAGAAAUCUGAUAUUUUGUGAGAAACUUAAGUUGACUAGAGCACACAGGGAGAAAUGUCAUUGGAAAUACAUGUUAUGAUCCAUUAGAAUGACAAAUUGUGCAUGUCCACUGUACUCUAAUGGCCUCCAAUAUAUUUUCUUGUGUCUGUGAGUACUUCAAUUGUAUUGAAGAAUGUCAUAAUGAAACUUGUCCCUGAAAUACAUACUUGAUUCCAAAUUGAUUGAGUUUAUGGAAAAGAAAAAAACUCAUUAGCAUGUCAUCUCUACAUUACAUGAGAAUUUUUAUGGAGGCUAACUGAGAAGGGAGGCAUGUGAGACAUGUUCUAGUCCAAGCCUUGUCCUACU